RNAcentral lists this long non-coding RNA (964 nucleotides) under Solanum tuberosum (potato). Its description in RNAcentral is "long non-coding RNA (STUB_LNC001668)". Lineage: Eukaryota; Viridiplantae; Streptophyta; Magnoliopsida; Solanales; Solanaceae. The record is from RNAcentral.
CUAAAUUUUAUUUUCUUUUUGCCUCGUUUAUGGUAAGACUCUUAUUGAUGUUCUCUUUUGCCUCUUUGUUUCCCAGUAAGAGUCUUAUGUCUUUUUGUUUUCUUUGUAGUACAUUACAACUAGGACUGCCAAAAAAUUGAACUUUUUUUGUUUUAAAAUCCUAGAAACAAUAUUAUUGCAAAAAGAUUGAAUUUGUUUUUUUUAAUCCCUAAACACAAUAUUGCUGGAAAAAGAAAAUUGCCUAUAUGAAUUUUCAAGGUAAAAUAACCAUAAUGAGGAUCUGCUAUGACAAUGUAAAAUGCCCCUUACCUAUUUGAUAAAAUGUGGAGAAGAAAUUGCAUAUAUGAAUUUUCAAGUCUCAUUGCCUUCUAAAGUAAAUUUAGGAACUUCAAAGUUGCGAGGAGUUGUAUUUGGUCGACUGCAUGUUGAUGCACUGCUUAAUGUGACACACCAAAUCCAACACUCUUAAUUGUUGAAGUUAAAGAUGAGAAAGUUGUUCUUUUAAACAUAUUAUCAAAUAGAUAGGGUACUUCCUAGAUAGAAAAAUAGGAUAUAAACCUUCAACUUCUUAUAGUUAUAGCGAAAAAUCCAGUGAAAUGACACCUUCGUGUUCAACAUGUAUUAUUUGAUAUUCUAUUCUUUCAAAUUUUAUAACAUCUAACUAACAGUAUCUGUUUUUGGACUGUGAGGUUCAUCUUGUCUUUGUUUCUUCUCUCUUCUCCAUUAUCCAGUCCUCUUUCUUCACUGCUAAUUGGACUCCCAUAAAUUUCAGUCGAGAGGAAAUUUGGAUCUUGUCUCACUUCCACUCAAACCUUCAGCAAUGUGUUGCUAAUCGAGGACUGUGAUUGAAUGAUCAUUGCAAUAUGAUUCUCAAGUUUCUGGAAGAAACUAAUAACACUUGGUAUAAUUUGAAAAUAUUUUUGUACAGGCAUCUUGACUGGUCCUGUUUCUCCUUUCUCCGUGC